Molecule: ribosomal RNA, 477 nt
Filed under: uncultured organism
Description: partial 16S ribosomal RNA
Rfam family: Bacterial small subunit ribosomal RNA
Source: RNAcentral
ACACUCCUGCGGGAGGCAGCAGUGGGGAAUUUUGGACAAUGGGCGAAAGCCUGAUCCAGCAAUGCCGCGUGAGUGAAGAAGGCCUUCGGGUUGUAAAGCUCUUUUGUCAGGGAAGAAACGGUGAGAGCUAAUAUCUUUUGCUAAUGACGGUACCUGAAGAAUAAGCACCGGCUAACUACGUGCCAGCAGCCGCGGUAAUACGUAGGGUGCAAGCGUUAAUCGGAAUUACUGGGCGUAAAGCGUGCGCAGGCGGUUUUGUAAGUCUGAUGUGAAAUCCCCGGGCCCAACCUGGGAAUUGCAUUGGAGACUGCAAGGCUAGAAUCUGGCAGAGGGGGGUAGAAUUCCACGUGUAGCAGUGAAAUGCGUAGAUAUGUGGAGGAACACCGAUGGCGAAGGCAGCCCCCUGGGUCAAGAUUGACGCUCAUGCACGAAAGCGUGGGGAGCAAACAGGAUUAGAAACCCUUGUAGUCCCAUGAU